This 484-nucleotide ribosomal RNA is filed under the name uncultured bacterium. RNAcentral describes it as "partial 16S ribosomal RNA". It matches the Rfam family "Bacterial small subunit ribosomal RNA", at positions 28 to 506 of the family's 1533-position model. The record is from RNAcentral.
GAUGAACGCUAGCUACAGGCUUAACACAUGCAAGUCGAGGGGCAGCAUGACCUAGCAAUAGGUUGAUGGCGACCGGCGCACGGGUGAGUAACACGUAUCCAACCUGCCGAUUAUUCCGGGAUAGCCUUUCGAAAGAAAGAUUAAUACUGGAUAGCAUAACGAGAAGGCAUCUUCUUGUUAUUAAAGAAUUUCGAUAAUCGAUGGGGAUGCGUUCCAUUAGUUUGUUGGCGGGGUAACGGCCCACCAAGACAUCGAUGGAUAGGGGUUCUGAGAGGAAGGUCCCCCACAUUGGAACUGAGACACGGUCCAAACUCCUACGGGAGGCAGCAGUGAGGAAUAUUGGUCAAUGGACGAGAGUCUGAACCAGCCAAGUAGCGUGAAGGAUGACUGCCCUAUGGGUUGUAAACUUCUUUUAUAUGGGAAUAAAGUGGGCCACGUGUGGCUUUUUGUAUGUACCAUACGAAUAAGGAUCGGCUAACUCCGU